RNAcentral lists this ribosomal RNA (449 nucleotides) under uncultured bacterium. RNAcentral describes it as "bacterial SSU rRNA". It matches the Rfam family "Bacterial small subunit ribosomal RNA", at positions 328 to 793 of the family's 1533-position model. The record is from RNAcentral.
CUCUGUGACUCCUACGGGAGGCAGCAGUAGGGAAUCUUGCGCAAUGGGGGAAACCCUGACGCAGCAACGCCGCGUGUGGGAUGACGGCUUUCGGGUUGUAAACCACUUUCAGUGAUGACGAAAAUGACGGUAAUCACAGAAGAAGGUCCGGCCAACUACGUGCCAGCAGCCGCGGUAACACGUAGGGACCGAGCGUUGUCCGGAUUUAUUGGGCGUAAAGAGCUCGUAGGCGGUUCUGUAAGUCGGAUGUGAAAACUCAGGGCUCAACCCUGAGACGCCAUCUGAUACUGCAGUGACUAGAGUCCGGUAGAGGAAGAUGGAAUUCCUGGUGUAGCGGUGGAAUGCGCAGAUAUCAGGAGGAACACCAAUGGCGAAGGCAGUCUUCUGGGCCGGUACUGACGCUGAGGAGCGAAAGCAUGGGGAGCAAACAGGAUUAGAUACCCUGGUAG